CCCAGACUCCUACGGGAGGCAGCAGUCGGGAAUAUUGCGCAAUGGAGGAAACUCUGGCGCAGUGACGCCGUGUAUAGGAAGAAGGUUUUCGGAUUGUAAACUAUUGUCGUUAGGGAAGAUAAAAGACAGUACCUAAGGAGGAAGCUCCGGCUAACUACGUGCCAGCAGCCGCGGUAAUACGUAGGGAGCAAGCGUUAUCCGGAUUUAUUGGGUGUAAAGGGUGCGUAGACGGGAAAUUAAGUUAGUUGUGAAAUCCCUCGGCUCAACUGAGGAACUGCAACUAAAACUGAUUUUCUUGAGUGCAGGAGAGGUAAGUGGAAUUCCUAGUGUAGCGGUGAAAUGCGUAGAUAUUAGGAGGAACACCAGUGGCGAAGGCGGCUUUCUGGACUGUAACUGACACUGAGGUACGAAAGCGUGGGGAGCAAACAGGAUUAGAUACCCCAGUA
This 446-nucleotide ribosomal RNA is filed under the name uncultured bacterium. RNAcentral describes it as "bacterial SSU rRNA". It matches the Rfam family "Bacterial small subunit ribosomal RNA", at positions 330 to 792 of the family's 1533-position model. The record is from RNAcentral.